Cydia fagiglandana is the source of this 339-nucleotide long non-coding RNA. RefSeq lists it as uncharacterized. NCBI's taxonomy places the organism in Eukaryota, Metazoa, Arthropoda, Insecta, Lepidoptera, Tortricidae. The record is from RefSeq and is a predicted model, not a curated record. The transcript has 3 exons.
CGUACCUUAGUUAAAGUAUUAUUUAUAUGUUUCCAGCGCUUUCAACUAUUUAUAUUAUUCAUAUGCCUGAUCGGGGCCUUUGCAAUGCCCGCCGAUGAAGAGUCCAAGAGUGCACCCAAACCUGAUAUUGAUAUCGCUGCGUUAACUCUAAAACCCCUAGCUCGUAGCGCCGAAGAGAUGAGUAAAGCUGCUAAAGAUACUCUAAAGACUGGGGGCGAUAUGCUGGCAACUAUGCUAGGAUGAAUGGAUUUGGCAUACCCAUGAAUAUAAUGCAGUGGCGACUUACAAUAAUUAAUGUAAGGAAUAUUUAACAACCGCAUAAUAAAAUGUGACUAAUAA